GACGAACGCUGGCGGCGUGCUUAACACAUGCAAGUCGAACGGAAAGGCCCUGCUUUUUUGGUGUUCUCGAUUGGCGAUCGCGUGAGUAACACGUGUGUAACCUGCCCUUCUCUUUGGUAUAACUUCAGGUAACUGGGGCUAAUACCGUAUAGGAUCUCCUCCUGCAUUGUGGGGGUUGGAUCGUUUCGGCGGUUGGGGAUGGACUCGCGGCUUAUCAGCUUGUUGGUGGGGUAGUGGCUUACCAAGGCUUUGACGGGUCGCCGGCAUGUGAGGGUGAACGGCGACAAGGGGACUGAGAGACGGAGCAGACUGCUACGGGAGGCAGCAGUGGGGAAUAUUGCACAGUGGGAGGAAGCGUGAUGAAGAAACGCCGGGUGCGGGAUGACGGCCUGCGGGUUGAAAAAAGCAUUAGGAUGAGACGAAGCGUGAGUGACGGUAAUGGGAAAAGAAGCACCGGCUAACUACGUG
Molecule: ribosomal RNA, 468 nt
Filed under: uncultured bacterium
Lineage: Bacteria
Description: partial 16S ribosomal RNA
Rfam family: Bacterial small subunit ribosomal RNA
Source: RNAcentral